GAUGGACGCUGGCGGCGUGCCUAAUACAUGCAAGUCGAGCGAACAGACGAGGAGCUUGCUCCUUUGACGUUAGCGGCGGACGGGUGAGUAACACGUGGGUAACCUACCUAUAAGACUGGGAUAACUUCGGGAAACCGGAGCUAAUACCGGAUAAUAUUUCGAACCGCAUGGUUCGAUAGUGAAAGAUGGCUUUGCUAUCACUUAUAGAUGGGCCUGCGCCGUAUUAGCUAGUUGGUAAGGUAACGGCUUACCAAGGCAACGAUACGUAGCCGACCUGAGAGGGUGAUCGGCCACACUGGAACUGAGACACGGUCCAGACUCCUACGGGAGGCAGCAGUAGGGAAUCUUCCGCAAUGGGCGAAAGCCUGACGGAGCAACGCCGCGUGAGUGAUGAAGGUCUUCGGAUCGUAAAACUCUGUUAUUAGGGAAGAACAAACGUGUAAGUAACUGUGCACGUCUUGACGGUACCUAAUCAGAAAGCCACGGCUAACUACGUG
This 497-nucleotide ribosomal RNA is filed under the name uncultured bacterium. RNAcentral describes it as "partial 16S ribosomal RNA". It matches the Rfam family "Bacterial small subunit ribosomal RNA", at positions 28 to 507 of the family's 1533-position model. The record is from RNAcentral.